GGCAUUGUACUUCGUGAGUUAUAAAGUUUCUAGAGAUGAGUUUUGAAGAUGUGAUUUUACUUAAUAAAGAUAAGUGUUAUCUACUGAUGCUGGAGCUGAGGCUAUUACAAAGCUAAAGUGAAAUUAUGGUCCUCAAGUCCAAGUAUGAACAUUUACACAAUGAAUUGGACUUUGAUUUAAAAAAACGAAGUACCACAAUUGAGGCGAAGUCAAUAGUCCCAUGAAGUCUCAUUCCAAGAUGUAGCUUUGACAAAGAAGAGAAGUCCCAUUUUAGGACGAAUCCUGUACACAUAAUGUCCAACAAUAUAGUAAUCACAUUUCUGGGUUGAGUUGAUUAAAGCUUGUAAGUUGAUGCGAAAUUUAGUAACGUACGUCCAAUAUUUUUCGCUAUUAUCAAUGAAGGUAAUAGAAUAUAUUUUCUUAAACAAGUAUUUAUGUCUGAGGCUAGCUAAGAGGUACAGGAUACGAAGUGACGAGAAGCAUGCUGGUAAUCUUGGCAUAGUGUGUUCCUAAAGUUGAAAUGACGAUUGCAAUUAAUCAUGAUGAUUGGACAAUUGAGGCAUUUUAUUUCUAAGGUGAUGCGCCCCGCAUGCGUAUGAGAGCGCGAUUCAAUCUGGGUCUCAGUUUGAAUCACUGUUUGGAGCAUUUUACUGUUCGAUGGCUAAAUUAGAUGAGGCAAUGAAAGGCCAUAAUCAAUCUUGAAUUGCUUCAAUAGCUAGGAUGAGCCCGUCUCGCCGAUAUAAGGGCUUAAAGGUUCACAUCAAACCCUUUUACUUUGCUACCCUAACAUUGUUCAAACUUGAGAGAAUUUCAGCAAGAAAAAUGCAUCUUGUGGAAAAGAAAGAAGCUCUGGCCUCGCAAAAUCCCAAAACUUGGCGACCAAGCUUGGAGCUUUAAUUAUGAAGUCUUAAAAUUUCAUUCUUAAAUCCCAUUUCCUUCUUGAAAAUCAUUUCCAACUACAGCGGCAUCAAUUUCCCUACCGACGAGAAAUCUAUGUCUGAAAAAUCCCCAAGUUUGGAAGUGUUGGAGGGUAGGCAAGAGUUAUAGAAAGCGUUUGCAAAUAUGUCCGGAGUGAUGCCUCCCAAUUCGUGAAUGUUGAUGCAUAGCUAGAGUUAGCUAUAGUGUCGGUUAAUGAAGCUAAACCAAGAGGGGUUGGCUCGAUGGGUUGGCGAAAGCUACAAGUCCCAUUAUCAAAUGAGAAUAUAUAUAGGAAAGAAUGAAACUAAGUCUUUUGGAUGUUUGGCAAGCUUGCAUCAUCUCAACAACGAAUAAUUCAAGUGUCAAGAAGUCACAUUCUAGUCAUCAUAGGCAUGUAACCUUCCACAUAUUAUCCUAGAUGAAAAAGAGUGAAUUUGACUUUCAAUCGCCUUAAUAGAGAUGUUAGAUCAAUCAAGUCGAAUGUUGCUCAAUGUGUCAAGAUACAGCUUGCAUAGUGUAUUAGGGAUCAAAUCCCAACUGCUUCAGACUCUAAAGGAGCAUCUAAUCUGGUAAGGGAUUAGGUCCACACAGAGCGCUCGGAGAGGGAAAGUGCCUAGUCUGCACAAAGUUAUGUCUUCUUGGGGGCAAUUGUCCACAAGAUGUUGGACGAUGCCCACAAAGCCCCGAAAGUGAUAGUUGAUGUGGAGAUGGAAUGGGACUUCAUCACCUCUAAGACAGUUGUCAACGAGGCACUGGGCGGUGAUUUCAAUGUUGUGUGACAUUUUGCUUAACUGAUAGUUAUUUGACAUGUUAAUAGAGACGUGACAAUAUAUUUAUUAAAAUAGAAUCAUCUACAAUAACUAAUAAGCAAGGAUUGAGAAGAAACUUUUGAUUACCAAUUUUAUUCUUAUAUUUUUUUUUCUUUUGACAACAUUGCCCUUAAUUAUGAAUGUAC
Molecule: long non-coding RNA, 1873 nt
Filed under: Olea europaea (common olive)
Lineage: Eukaryota; Viridiplantae; Streptophyta; Magnoliopsida; Lamiales; Oleaceae
Description: long non-coding RNA (OEUR_LNC013627)
Source: RNAcentral